Long non-coding RNA from Piliocolobus tephrosceles (Ugandan red Colobus), 2065 nucleotides. NCBI's taxonomy places the organism in Eukaryota, Metazoa, Chordata, Mammalia, Primates, Cercopithecidae. The record is from Ensembl.
UUUUCUUGGCAGGCCUUCGAAAAAUCCCAAGUCCGGUCUUUAAAGUUUGUCCGUGCAGCCGCCUCUCGGUUGUUUACGGGAAGGAGCACAGGAUUUGGAGUCUGAUGUCCUGGGAGAAGUCUCAGUCCGGCCACUUGGCUGGACCUGUGAUCUAUUGUACAGCAGUCUGUUUACGCCAGCCUCAGUUUCCUUGUCUGAAAAGUGGGGAUAAUGUUCUUUCCCCUGCUGCCUUCCAGGGUUGUGGGCUUCAGCAGAAGUAAUAUUCCUUCAAAAGCUUUGAACUCUAAAGCAUGUUUCGGGCAUAACCUUGCCAUCCCCCAGUCUCCUGUCCAGGGAGUGAAAGUUGAGAAAAACCAAGGAGGAAAACCUUAUAGAGAAAAAUGCUUUGUUGGUCAAGGCAAAGUCUUGGAGUUUAGAGUUGAAGUAUGUAUUUUUUACUUCCUUCAAGUGCCGUAUUGACUACCAGAUAUCUGCCGAUUCAGAUGCUUAGGAAAUGUUUCCUUUACUCUCUUUUUUUGAUGUGGUAUGCCUGUGCUAUGUUUUGCCAGCUUCUUUCUACCUUUAGUUAUGAAUCAGCAAGAUAACUCUUUUUUCACACCAGACUUGUAUACAAAGCUAUGACAAUAGGAAGUCACUUCGAUUAAAAUCUACUUUGUAUGCUAUGUGUUAUUUUUUCCUUUAUGUUUUAAUCUUAAACACUUUUAGCUGGGGCAUAAUAGCUUGUUCCUGUAAUUCCAGCACUUUGAGAUCCUUUGAGGUAGGCUCAUUUGAGGCCGGGAGUUCGAGACUAGCCUGGGCAACAAAGCGAGACUUCGUCUCUAUAAAAAAAAUUAACAACAACAACAAAAAUCAGUUCAACACUUUUGUUCCUUGACUGUUUUUUACUUAAAAGGAAUUUUUGGAAAGUAUACUAAUUCUCAGCUAUAGUGUGUGACUAUGCAUAGUGGAUGCUCAGUAAUGAGUGUGCUGACUAGUUCUGAAUAGGAACAUUUUGUUGAUCGUCCUAGGUCACUGAGGUGCACUCUGGAGAGGCCAUGUAGCAUUGUGGCAGUAACCUAUGCUUUGGAGUCAAGACAGACCAAGGUCUGAAUCCAGGCUCACUAGAUGUAACUUUGGUUCAUAUGAUCAUUCUGAAUUGAGUUUCUCAUCAUCUGUAAGACAGAUUAGACUAACCCUGCAUGGUUGAAAAGGUUAAAGAUUAUUUGAAUGAGGCACAUAUUAGUCAGGUUUAGUAUAAUAUUAGAGAUUGGAGUGGUGGUGUUAUUACUAUUUUUAAUUUGUAUUAUUUUUUCUGAAAGGUAUGGAUUUUGUUGAUACAUCUAUAUUCAUUCCCCUAAUGCUUCAAUGAUCAGUAUGUUUCUUAGCCAAGGUUAAGGUUGUUGACUGUGACCAUGGAAUCUAGAAACACACAGCAAAGCUAAUUGGCCAGCAUGGAGUUUGAGUCUGUGACCUUGUCCUCAUUAGCUCCAUAAGCUAACUAUUCACAAAUAAUCUCAAGAGAAUGAAAGAAAAGACUGGUAUAUUUUUUAUUUGGCCCUCAUGCAACUCAUUAGACAUAAGUAAAUGAACUAGUGCCAGAAGCAAAAAUAUAGAUUUUUCAUUAGCUUAUAUAAAUAUAUGAUUAGCCCUCACACUGUGUAUAAAACUUGUGACCUGUAGGAUGAUCUUUGACAACUCCACUAACCUAAGUUUAUAAUUUAGACAUUUCUUUUAGUUGUUGAAUUGUAUUUGUUGUAGACUUCUCACCUAUAGGAGAAGUGAGAAGAAAUGGAACUAGGCUAUUCAUGUCUUGAAGGAGUACCCUCCUUCUGUUGUGCUACCCACAAGGAAAUGUGCUCUUAGCUAGUGCAGAAAACACUUAGAGUUAUCCAGUAAUGAUCCCAGCAGGAUGGAUGAAGCUUGGGGAACUCCUAAGAGCUUAUUGAAUUACAGAGAAAUUCCAGUUGUCAAAGCAUUAGAUAGAGGAAAAGUUAUAGGGUGUUACUCAGCAGUAGUAAGCCUGCAUUUGGAGAGAAUUUUCUUUUCUCUUAAUAAAAUUCACCCUUCAGUUUUAUUAGUAUUUGUU